UGGGUCCAACCUCCCACCCGUGUUUAUUUUACCUUGUUGCUUCGGCGGGCCCGCCUUAACUGGCCGCCGGGGGGCUUACGCCCCCGGGCCCGCGCCCGCCGAAGACACCCUCGAACUCUGUCUGAAGAUUGUAGUCUGAGUGAAAAUAUAAAUUAUUUAAAACUUUCAACAACGGAUCUCUUGGUUCCGGCAUCGAUGAAGAACGCAGCGAAAUGCGAUACGUAAUGUGAAUUGCAAAUUCAGUGAAUCAUCGAGUCUUUGAACGCACAUUGCGCCCCCUGGUAUUCCGGGGGGCAUGCCUGUCCGAGCGUCAUUUCUGCCCUCAAGCACGGCUUGUGUGUUGGGCCCCGUCCUCCGAUCCCGGGGGACGGGCCCGAAAGGCAGCGGCGGCACCGCGUCCGGUCCUCGAGCGUAUGGGGCUUUGUCACCCGCUCUGUAGGCCCGGCCGGCGCUUGCCGAUCAACCCAAAUUUUUAUCCAGGUUGACCUCGGAUCAGGUAGGGAUACCCGCUGAACUUAAGCAUAUCAAUAAGCGGAUGAUUACGAGUGAGGGCCCUCUGGGUCCAACCUCCCACCCGUGUUUAAUUUACCUUGUUGCUUCUGCGGGCCCCCUUAACUGGCCGCCGGGGGGGUUACGCCCCGG
This 642-nucleotide ribosomal RNA is filed under the name Penicillium chrysogenum. RNAcentral describes it as "eukaryotic LSU rRNA". The stretch from base 161 to 313 matches the Rfam family "5.8S ribosomal RNA". The record is from RNAcentral. Lineage: Eukaryota; Fungi; Ascomycota; Eurotiomycetes; Eurotiales; Aspergillaceae.